Non-coding RNA from Rattus norvegicus (Norway rat), 803 nucleotides. The record is from RefSeq and is a predicted model, not a curated record. Lineage: Eukaryota; Metazoa; Chordata; Mammalia; Rodentia; Muridae.
AAACAAGUCCCAGGUGUUUGAUGAAAUAGAGAAAGCCAACCUCAAACUGAGGAUCGGGAAUGCGGAUUGAUGUCUAUAUGCAGAUGAGGGCAGGCACCCGGUAAGGCAAGGCCUGUGAUUGGGCAGUGAAAAAGAAAGGCGGGGACAGAGUUUUUGUAAGGCGGGAGAAAUAACCACCAAGAUGGAGGCCAAGAAAGACGACUCAGAUCCGUGUGGCCUUAAAGGGUGACAGCAUGUCUGUCGGAACCUACUUCUUCAGGAUCCCAGCUUAUACAGAAGAUGAGCUGAAGCAAUUAGCCUCGUGGGAGUGAGCAACUACUAGACUCUUGGCCUUCUUACUCACAGCUGCCCAUUGUUGGGUUAGUUAGACUACAGACUUUUUCUACACCAGGAAUCCUGUCAGUGAUAAGACAGGUGAGGAAGAGCUAGUGCUUCCUGUUAGUUCAACCAGGGACAAAUAUCACGGCAGAUGGACAGUCACCUGAGGAUGAUGACAUCUGUGGGGGAUGACGCUCUAAUCAUAUAAGUCUAAUGUAAGACUCAUCCUAAAGUAUUAAGGGUUGCAUCUUUUUGCUCCUGGGAUGGAUAAAGAUGGAUCCUGAGAGGCUAAAGAUGUUUGCCAGCAAGUGUGACGACCUGAGUUUGAGUCCCAGACACCAGGGAGACGAAGGGGAUCAUCAACUUCCAGGAGCUGUUUUCUGACUUUUAUAGAUAACCCACCCAGCAGACAUAUACAAUGAAUAAAUACCUGGAAAGCUGUGUGAAAAUGAAGAUAAAAAAAUAAAUACAGAUUUGUGAGUAAA